Ornithodoros turicata is the source of this 2705-nucleotide long non-coding RNA. RefSeq lists it as uncharacterized. The record is from RefSeq and is a predicted model, not a curated record. NCBI's taxonomy places the organism in Eukaryota, Metazoa, Arthropoda, Arachnida, Ixodida, Argasidae. The transcript is spliced from 3 exons.
UUCCCUUUCUCCUUUCUAUCUUCUACUUUCCUGUGCACCUGUGGACUCCGUUUCUUUCUUUUUUUCGGAAGCCUGCCCUGUAUCAAAAGGGAUUAGGUGCCACUACUACUACUACUACUACUACGUCGGGAAUUGUCGUCUGCUUCCGUCAUUGUACCGCUGCCGGCAGAACCACCUGCUGGGACACAUUCUGUUGUCGGGACGUGUUUCAGGCAUGCAAAACAGAUUUCCCUUGGACAAGACCUUUACUGGUGGGGGCCCCGUCUGCCCUCCCCUAAAUCCGCCACUGUUGCUCGGAGCACUUCGUUGGUGGAAAGCGCGUUGAACCCUAUUCCAAUGUUCCAGAUGGGCUACACUAAGAAGGUCCUGGUAGGGCGGCGACGACUAGUCAGGACAAGCUAUGAACCACCAGCUAAGAAGAUGUUUUUCGGAAUUAUUUUAAAUUUUGUUGCAGCCGAAUGAACUUAAUUUUAAGACUGAGGACGCUGAAGAUAAAACUUGGCGUUCGGAAGUUAGCGGCCAGCAUGACAGUGCUACCACUUGUGGCGUGUGACGGUCUCUUUGGACAAAAGUUUACCGAACACGUUCCGGCGUAUUCUCUCCUCAGAGUGACACGUUCACCUGUUUGCAAGUCUGUACAGUACCAUUCGCUGCUAGUGUGUCACUCUGUGAAAGGAUGAGCGUGUUCCGUAAACUUUUGUCCAGCACUGUACCACUUAAGCCAAGCCAAGCCAAGCCAAGCCAAUCCAGCGCACCUUCUGAAUUGGAGUUUCGCUCCUAUCUGUUACCCCCCUUGCGAAAACUGCCAUGUUUUGCCAAGAGAUUGCGCCGCUCCUAUUUGUCUGACGUUGGAGGUAUUUGUAUCGUAGGAAAGCAUUUUUUGUAUACUAAUGCUCUACAGCGCUCCUUUGUUUAUACAUCGCUCAGAUGUUCUACUAUAAAGCCAGGAAGAUAACCACAUUUUCAAUUUUUGCUCCUCUUUGUCAAGGUUUCACUCGAAGAAAAAAGAUGAAAGCGCUAUGUAGUUUUUCCAAGCAUGGUGUCCUGGGAUACACAAGGUGCACCACAGCCCAGUAUUAUUGAUAUUUGGCAUAGGUAAUUUAUAAACGCUCCUUAGAAAAACAAAAAAAUUUGAUUUUCUAACUUGUCAUUUCGCAUUGUUCUGUUUCCUGUCUGAAAACAAGAUCCGCACUGAAGAGAGACAAUUGUGCUCUGAACAAAUCCUGAAAUUUUCAUUGUAAUCGGGGUGUAUCAAGGGAAGCUGGAAUGCCUGGAAGCUACCCACCCAACGCCCAGCGAAACCGAAACCAUUGGGCUGCGGCAAGCGAGCUUUGCUGCAUAAGCUGGUAACCAUGGUUUCUAAGUCCCAGAGGUGUCACAGGCAAAUACCAAAUGAUGUGCACCGUGUAUUCACACGAGCGGCAUUCCCUGCAAAAGCGGAAGACGCGAAAAACGUCAUAGUCCAGUGUUCACGUACACUGCUAACCGUGCGGAAUACCCUGCAACACAGUCACAAGAUAUUCUGUAGCAGACGACAGGAAAGACAUUGACGGUGUCGUCUGCCAAGUGCGCAGUAUGCCACCCCCAAUAUUCCGCACCGUGUGAACGCUCACAUAACACGGGACGGAACUUCGUCUCUGUGAGCAGUAUUUUUGCUUUUCCUUCCACUGGAAUUUUUAUUUUUUUUAUUUUUUAUUUAAGAGAAUGCGAAUGGCAGAUACAAGAGCUCGUCACCUUGCAAACUGAAAGUUCGUAAGCUCAAUCCACAAAGCAAACAAAGUAGUCAAAUACAACGAAAGCUUGGUAGCUGCAGUGUGUACGAAGUAAUCCACACCAACCAGUGGAGGAACGGCUGCCAUUAUCAUUAUAAGUUAGCAUAAUAAACAAAAAGAAAGAGACACUUUUGCGCUCAAACCAGUGCCGGGAUAAUGUGGGCCAAUUCCCGAAAUAUAUUUUCAUUUCUGGAAUGCGCUUAGUGCCUAUCGUUCUCAAAAAAAAAAAAAUCUGCACUUUGGCUUUGAUAAAAAAAGUUAGAUUAGCUUGUCAAUUAUCGGCAUAUUUACUGGAGUUAAUAAAUUCGUAACAGCAGAUUGCGGCAAAAGGUCCAGAGCAGGGAGACUGCCGAGUGCACAUAUUUUGGAGUGGAAAUCAUUCAAAAUCACAAUAUAAUCAUUCUCAGUUCCAAAGGAGCAGAAACUGCAUGGGACACCUCACGAGGAAAUCAGGAUGAUUGUAUUUUAUAAUAAGGUGAGCAAUUGUUCAAUGUCCACACCCUCUAGGUUUAUCCUCGCAUAGUUUGUCUAAAUGCAAUGGUGUUUAAAUACAUUGUAAUUAAAAUACUAUUUAAAAUAUAAAUAUGUGGAUUUAUAUUUUGGGCAUGUACUCUCGUAAAUACUUAAUAAAUACUCCUAAAUACAGGAUUAGUUGCCCUACAUUUGAGCGUUUGGGAAGAAGGCCGAGUUUAGGGCACAGUUAUGCCACGUUUGCGCUUGCAUGCACACGCAACAAACAAUUUUAGAUGGCAAGCAACUACCCGAUUACCUUGUUGUAGGAAGCAUCUUUGUCAAAUUUUAUACGAGCCUUUGUUCAUCGGCACCUGUGAAGAUGCUGUUCUCUUUUGGCUGAACAGAAGAUGCCUAAAAGAUGCCUUCCAAUAUUCCUAUAUUAAAAUCGCCAUAAUAAUCUAACAAAUAAAUGCUAUUGUU